Molecule: transfer RNA, 74 nt
Filed under: Lactobacillus helveticus
Lineage: Bacteria; Bacillati; Bacillota; Bacilli; Lactobacillales; Lactobacillaceae
Description: tRNA-Pro
Rfam family: tRNA
About the family: Transfer RNA (tRNA) molecules are approximately 80 nucleotides in length. Their secondary structure includes four short double-helical elements and three loops (D, anti-codon, and T loops).
Source: RNAcentral
CGGGAAAUGGCUCAGUUUGGUAGAGCACUGCGUUCGGGACGCAGAGGCCGCAAGUUCAAAUCUUGUUUUCCCGA